Molecule: long non-coding RNA, 293 nt
Filed under: Manihot esculenta (cassava)
Lineage: Eukaryota; Viridiplantae; Streptophyta; Magnoliopsida; Malpighiales; Euphorbiaceae
Description: long non-coding RNA (MESC_LNC001833)
Source: RNAcentral
AAUAGAGAAACAAACAAGGCCUUCGACGAAAAUUUCCGGAGGGCAAGGUCCGUUUUCUAAAAUUUUUGACGUGGGUAUUAGAUUACAGGAAGAAGGAAGGUAACUGGGGACGUGGGUAUUGGAUUUCAGGAAGAAGGAAGGUAAAUAGGAUGUGGGUAGUUGUGAGAUGAGAGGUAGUGGAGGAGAGGAGUUGUUAUAUAGAUAAGAGGGAAGGGGUAGUUGUGGCUGAGAUUGCCGUGAGAUGUGUAGUAGGGGUAGUAAUGCAAUAUUGAAACUUGAAAGUGACUUUUGUC